AAGUCGUAACAAGGUUUCCGUAGGUGAACCUGCGGAAGGAUCAUUAAUGAAUUUAGGUUGUCCUCUUCAUCGAGAGGGCAACCGACCCUUCAUUUCCAACCCUGUGCACUAUAUCUGGGAACUUGCGCAAGGAGAACCCGUCCAUUUAACAUACUCUAGUAAUUGAUGUACAAUACAAACAAAAAAAAG
This 189-nucleotide unclassified non-coding RNA is filed under the name plant metagenome. Its description in RNAcentral is "partial contains small subunit ribosomal RNA and internal transcribed spacer 1". The stretch from base 1 to 46 matches the Rfam family "Eukaryotic small subunit ribosomal RNA", at positions 1786 to 1831 of the family's 1831-position model. The record is from RNAcentral.